AUACGGAGGGUGCGAGCGUUAAUCGGAAUUACUGGACGUAAAGCGUACGUAGGCGGUUUGCUAAGUCAGAUGUGAAAGCCCCGGGCUUAACCUGGGAACUGCAUUUGAUACUGGCAGACUAGAGUAUGAUAGAGGGGGGUAGAAUUCCUGGUGUAGCGGUGAAAUGCGUAGAUAUCAGGAGGAAUACCAGUGGCGAAGGCGGCCCCCUGGAUCAAUACUGACGCUGAGGUACGAAAGCGUGGGGAGCGAACAGGAUUAGAAACCCCUGUAGUCC
Molecule: ribosomal RNA, 274 nt
Filed under: uncultured bacterium
Lineage: Bacteria
Description: partial 16S ribosomal RNA
Rfam family: Bacterial small subunit ribosomal RNA
Source: RNAcentral